RNAcentral lists this ribosomal RNA (550 nucleotides) under Salmonella enterica. RNAcentral describes it as "partial 23S ribosomal RNA". It matches the Rfam family "Bacterial large subunit ribosomal RNA", at positions 1 to 593 of the family's 2925-position model. The record is from RNAcentral. Lineage: Bacteria; Pseudomonadati; Pseudomonadota; Gammaproteobacteria; Enterobacterales; Enterobacteriaceae.
AGCGACUAAGCGUACACGGUGGAUGCCCUGGCAGUCAGAGGCGAUGAAGGGCGUGCUAAUCUGCGAUAAGCGCCGGUAAGGUGAUAUGAACCGUUAUAACCGGCGAUACCCGAAUGGGGAAACCCAGUGUGAUUCGUCACACUAUCAUUAACUGAAUCCAUAGGUUAAUGAGGCGAACCGGGGGAACUGAAACAUCUAAGUACCCCGAGGAAAAGAAAUCAACCGAGAUUCCCCCAGUAGCGGCGAGCGAACGGGGAGGAGCCCAGAGCCUGAAUCAGCAUGUGUGUUAGUGGAAGCGUCUGGAAAGGCGCGCGAUACAGGGUGACAGCCCCGUACACAAAAGCGCAUGUGCUGUGAGCUCGAUGAGUAGGGCGGGACACGUGGUAUCCUGUCUGAAUAUGGGGGGACCAUCCUCCAAGGCUAAAUACUCCUGACUGACCGAUAGUGAACCAGUACCGUGAGGGAAAGGCGAAAAGAACCCCGGCGAGGGGAGUGAAAAAGAACCUGAAACCGUGUACGUACAAGCAGUGGGAGCACAGGUUUACCUGUG